Mirounga angustirostris (Northern elephant seal) is the source of this 8122-nucleotide long non-coding RNA. RefSeq lists it as uncharacterized. The transcript has 2 exons. The record is from RefSeq and is a predicted model, not a curated record. NCBI's taxonomy places the organism in Eukaryota, Metazoa, Chordata, Mammalia, Carnivora, Phocidae.
GGACGACUCGCGGGCGGCCCCGGGCACGAGCCGGCUUCGGCGGAGGCCACGGAGGACACCCCCGCGCGAUUCGGCUGCACACCCCGGGGCCGUCCCACUACGGUUGGGGACGCCGGGAGUCCACGAGGAGGGACACCCUCCGCGGUAAAAGCGCAUACAUGGCGUGGCCGGACCCUCCCCCCUCCUCGACUCUCGUGCCGUCCCCGCUCCCGCUUCCGCCGCCUCGGGGAGCCCAACGGACGCAGCGAAGGGCUGUCAGAACUGGAGCUAGACAACCUUCAGAGGCGGACGGCGGAAGUCCCGCCCCAGCAGCCCUCCCGGAAACGCGCUGCCCUGGGCCCUCACUGGUCAGCCCCGAGACGUCGUCGCAGUGUCUUCUGGGUAGUGUAGUUCCCGCCGCGAGGCCCCGCGCGCUGGCAGGGCUGAGUCCUCCGGGUGCUACCACACAAGCUACAGGAGGGCAGGGUCCGUGGUCGUAUCUUCUCCGAGCCGUGAGCUCCCAGUACUGAGACUCUCUGAGACUCGUCCCGACUGUGGCACCGGCUGCCUCUCACGGAGGUAUCCGCCCGGGCCGCGCGCUCUCCCGAGCCUCCUCACCGGUCCUCGGCCCCCGCCGCCCCGGCAAGUGGCACCCUGGCCCCGUAGGCAUUGUACGCGGGAGUGGGUGGGGACUGAGGCCCAGACUGCGACGGUCAGCCCGAGGUCAUCCCUCCAUGGGCGGGGCUGGGGUCGGGCCGGCUGACCUGUGGGACCCAGGCCGGGUGUGCGCCUUGCAGUGCGCAGCUCCGGCCCCGGGUCGGCGGGCGGCGGCGGUGAUGAGCGACCCGGCGCCGGUGAGUCGAGGGUGCGCCCUCGACCGCACUCACUCAGACCCCCGUAUCGGGGAUGUUGGUGUCGUGGGGCUUUUACUCCUCCCCGCCGCCUUCAGCUCCCUGCCCUUACCACUUGGGCUUUGGGAGUCGCAUCUGGCCCCUAAUCCAGCGCUUACGCGGAAGGCUUCCCGUUUCUGUCAGUCAACGGGAUGUGAUAUGGAAAGUGUUAAAGACACAGAAGCCAGCAAGUGCUUGGUAGUGAGGCUGCGCUGGCAGUGUUCAGGGAACCCCAGAUCCCACCUAGGUCUUUUGAGAAGAGAGAGCAGGGGCAGGAGUCAGGCCUGGGAUGGAUCUAGACUUCUGUUCGGAGGGUGCUGGGAGCACUGGAGAUUUAGGGCAGGGGAGGGAGGUGAUCUGACUCGUGUUGGGAGACUCCCUCUGGCUACGGACUGUGGCGGAAGAAGGCACAUGAGAGGCUACUGGUGAUGGGUGGCUGCACCAGGGUGAUGGCAAUGGAGAUGGCAGAGGUGCUGGGACUCUGCAUCUGUUAUUUCAGUAGGACCAGCCCAAUUGCUGGAUGUGAGGCAGUGAGAGACACUGACCUAUCAAGGAGUAGCCUAGGUGUUUGGACUCAGUGGUUUGAUGGAUGGAGGAUCUACCAACAGUUGUGGAGGUUGGUGGCUAGAGCAGGUUCCAGGGACAAGAUCUGGAGUGUGGUUUUGGAGAUUUUAAGUGGGAUAUAUCCAGGAAUGGAGGCACCUUGUAGGCACCUGAAUGUGCAGCUCUGGAAUUCUGCAGGGUCAGGGCUGGAAAGAUCCAAAGGGUGGGGCUAGAGAGUGGGCCUAGGAACAAUGUGGGAUGAAGGACGGUGAUGAAUGCCCAGACAAGUUGUGGGAAGGGAGGCUGGGGGCCAAGGAGGACCAGGUGCUCGGACUGUGCAGUUGGAAGGUGGUGGCAGGUGUCACGAAGGCACUGUGACGUCUGGGCCUAUGUUAGCGGGGAAUGAAGAGGGGCAGUGUCAGGGAGCCAAGGCUCCUGAUCGGCAGGUGGACCUGGGGUGCAGCCUGUGGCAUGGCAGUGAUGGAUGUAGGGGGUAAAUGGGCUUGGGGUUGGGCUGAUUCACCUGUUUGCAGGCUGACCAGGCUUUUAUAUCUGCCCUCUCUGGGGACUGAGGGUUUUCAUUCAGGGUUGCAGAGGCAUUCAGUGGUAGAUGGAGGUCACCUGGGCAACGGGCAGUGUCCCAGGCCCAGUGGGCUGGACUCUGAGUAUGCCUCAGAAUGGGAGAGGAGGAUCACGGCAAGUGAGAGCACAGCCUGUGCAAAGGCAGAUGUGAAGGAAGUCCAGCAUCUCAGAGAUCCAAUUGUAGUUCUGAGUGGCUGAAUAUUGAAGCUAGAACAGGGCCAGGUUACCUCCAAAAUCCAAAAAGUCCUACCAAAUGUUUUUUGGUGGUUGAUCGUGUGAGGUGCAAUGGCAGUGGGCCAUUGAAGUGCAGGCAGGCUGGAGCAGGAUAGGAUUGCGGUUGCUGUGCCAUGCACUCUCAGGACACCACAUGGAGAGUGGCAUGUGGGGAAGCCAGGGAGUUGUGAAUGGAGUGAACUGGUGAGGUUGUGCUGGAAUGGUGUGGGUGCAGAAGUAUGAGGAUGCUGAGUAUGUUAUGUGCCUGAUAGGUGGGAGGGCCAACUGAAGGGCCUUGGGAACAGGCAUCUGGCCCUAAGGAAGAAUGGUGAGUGAGGGUUUAGUUGCAUCUGAGAGGUGUGAUGUGAGGGACACAGAGAGAAUGGGCUGGGAGGAGAAAGGGUGAGGCCUGUGUGCCUGGACCAGAACAUAGAUGGCAUCCAUCCUGUUGUUGCUGUGGGAUGGAUACAGAAUCUAAUAGUAACAUGAUGAGAAAGGCAUCAAUGGCAUUGUGACCUUGGUAUUCUCUCUGAGGUAGAGUUCUGGAGGGAAAAGGAAGCAUCAGGAUGUGGUGGUGGUGGUGGUGGUGGGGUGUUGAGCCUGUCAGUGAGAGAGAGGAUAGUACCCUUCCGUGUCAAAGGCUUGGAUGUGUCCCUUUGGUUGGUUUUUCUGCCCAAUCAUCAACCCCUAGGAUCAGCUGAACCCAUCACUGCAGGAUCAGGUGACAUUUGAGGAUGUGGCCGUGUAUUUCUCCAAGGAGGAGCGGAGGCUCCUUAACGUAACGCAGAGGCAUCUAUACCAUGAUGUGAUAUAGGAGAACUUUGAGCUCAUCGGCUCUCUGGGUUGUCUGUGUCAAGUGGAAGAUGAGGAGGACCCUCUUGAGCAGGUGAAGAGCUAUAGGGCCCACUCUUCAGAACACCCCUUCAUGUGUGGGGAGUGCGGCAUGGACUUCCAGGCCAGCUUUGGCCUCAGACAGCAACAAGCCACUCACGGUAUGGGGAAGCUACCAAGCAGCACCAGGGAGACCUUCCCUCACAGCUCCAGUCUCAGGCAGCACCCAGGAGUCCACACUGGACAGAAACCCUUCAAGUGCAGCAACUGUGGGAAAUCUUUCCUGGAGAGUUCUGCCCUCCUCAACCACCUAAGAACUUACACUGAACUGAGUUCCUACAGAUGCUCAACAGGUGGAAAUGCCUUCAAGGAGAAAUCAAUUCUUAUUACUCAGAUUAAAAUUCACACUGGAGGAACGUCCUAUAUGUGUAAAGAGUAUGGGAAGGCCCUCAGCCACCCAUCUAAAUUGAGCACACAUCAUAAAGUUCAUACUGAAAUAAAAUGUUACAAGUGCAGUGAAGGUGGGAAAACAUUCAACCACAAAUCCACACUUGUUCAGCACCAGAGAAUUCAUACAGGGGAAAGGCCUUAUAAGUGCAGUGAAUGUGGGAAAGACUUUAGCCUCGCAUCUACCCUUAUUCGGCACCAGAAAGUUCACACUGGGGAAAUGCCCUAUAAAUGCACUGAAUGUGGGGAAUUCUUUAGCCAAACUCCAACCUCAUUUGGCACCAGAGAGCUCACAUUGGAGCAAGACCUUAUGAAUGCAUUGAAUGUGGGAAGGCCUAAGCAGAAUCUGUUGUCUCAGUCAGCACCAGAAGGUUCACGUGAGAGAAAGGCCAUACGAGGGCUGCUGGUGUGGGAAAGUCUGCAUUGAAAUAGCCACGGGUGUUUGGUACCUCCAAGUUCUCAACACAUAAAGGCCCAUGAGUGCAGUACAUGUUGCUCCUUCUCUGCUUCUCAUUUAACACCAGGAAUUAUAGGAAAGCCUUUAGACACAGCCUUAAGCUCAUUCAGUACCAGAAAGAUCAUGACCCCAAAGCACGUUAAAUGCAGUCAGUGUGGGAAAUCUUUACCCCAAAGCACCAAACUUGUUCUACAUGCAAGCUUCCACACCACAGAAUAUCCUCUUUAGUCCAACUAAUGUGGGAAAGUCUUUUUUUUUUUUUUUUUGAAGAUUUUAUUUAUUUAUUUAUUUGAGAGAGAGAGAGAGAGAGUGUGUGAGAGUGGGGAGGGUCAGAGGGAGAAGCAGAUGCCCUGUUGAGCAGGGAGCCGGAUGCGGGACUCGAUCCUGGGACUCCGGGAUCAUGACCUGAGCUGAAGGUAGUCGCUCAACCAACUGAGCCACCCAGGUGGUGGGAGAGUCUUCAGCUGCAGCUCCAAUCUUAUUUCACUCCAGAAAGUUCACACUGAAGGCCUUAGGAGUACAAUAAAGUGCAAAAGCCUCUAGCCAUGGCUAUCACCUUGUUCAGCCUCAUGUCAGAGAGAAGACUUUGUGAGGGAGCCACUGCCAAAAGUCCAACCUUGUAAUAGUUUUCUGUUUCUGUGUAACAAAUUACAAUUACCAAAACAUCCAUUUAUUAUUUCACAGCACUGAGGUCAGAAUUCUAGCACAACAUGGCUAAGUUCUCUGCUCCUACUAGAAUGAAGGUGCUGGCUAGACUGAGUUCUUGUCCGGAGGUUCUGGGGAAAAAAAUCUAUCCAGUCUCAUGGAUUACAAUGGAAAAAUCUUUUUUUUUUUUUUUUUUAAGAUGGGUGGGGACUCCAGAGGGUUGCCCUACGAUGGAAAAAUCUUGGGGUCAUCUUAGAAUUCUGCCUACCAUCCUUUUUUUUUUUUUUUUUUAAGAUUGUAUUUAUUCAUUUGAGAGAGAGACAGAGAGAGAAGGAGGGAGAGAGAGCAAGCAUGAGCAGGGGGGAGACACAGAGGGAGAAGCAGACUUCCCGCUGAGCCAGGAGCCCGACAUGGAGCUCAAUCCCAGCACCCAGAGAUCAUGAUCCAAGCUAAAGGCAGAUGCUUAACCAUCUGAGCCACUCAGGUGUCCCUGCCUACCAUGACUUUAAAAGGGCAAAAAAUCUGGACACCUCAGGAAAGAAGAUACACAGGUGGCAAAUAAGCAUAAGAAAAUAUGCUCAAGCUUGUCUGCUAUUAGGGAAUUGCAAGUUAAAACAAUAUCAUUACAUAUGUAUUAGAAUGGCUAAAAUCCAAAAUACAACAGGAGGAACCAGAAAUCUCAUUCACUGCUGGGGAGAAUGCAAAAUGGUACAGCCACUUUGGAAGAGUUUGAUAGUUUCUUGCAAAGUUAAAUAUAGUCCUGCCAGGUCAUCCAGCAAGGCACACAAAUGUUUGUAAUUGCUCAGAACAGGAAUCAGCUCAGAUGUUCUUCAAUAGGUAAGUGGAUAAAGAAACUGUGGCACAUCCAUACAAUGGAAUAUUAUUCAGCAAUAAAAAGAACUGAGUUAUUAAGCCACAGAAAGGCAUGGAGGAAUCUUAAAUGUAUAUUGCUAAGUGAAAAAGUCAGUCUGAAAAAGGCACCCACUGUAUAAUUCCAGCUUUAUGACAUUCUGGGAAAGGCAAAACUUAGACACAGUAAAAUAGUGGUUGAUGGGGACUUGGGGGAGGGAGGGAUGAAUAGGUGAAGCACAGGGGGUUUUUCAUGCAGCAAAACUAUUCUGUAUGAUACUGUAAUGACUGACACAUGUGACAUUAUGUAUUUGUCAAAACCCAUAUUAGGUACAACUCUAAUGUGAACUAUAGACUUUAUUUAAUAAUAAUGUAUCAAUAUGGGUUCAUCAGUUAUAACAAAUAUACCACACUAAAGAUGUUAACAGUAGGGGAAACUAUAGGGAGAGACCAGGAGUAUGGGAACUCUGUACUAUCAGCUCAAUUUCCCAUAAACCUAAAACUUAGUGCUCUAAAAAUAAUGUAUAUUAAUAAAAACUAGAGUAAUAUUGAUAAAUAAAUGUCAGAAAUUUAAAAAAUGAGCCAGACUAGAGACAGUCAUUGGGAAAAUCAUGUGAUUUUCAUGUGUAGUUCAUACUGGGCUACUUGGAGUAUAGUGGGCCAGUUUUAGGCAGUGUCUAUUCAAAUUUAAAACAUGGCAGGCUCAAGGAGAGUCAUACAAUGAACUUAAGAGCUGCACUGUUUUGAGGUCAAAGUGUCUAACAAUAGGGCACUACUGGAAAUAAUUAGGGUAUCUCCAUUAAAAAAUGUUGGCACUGAAAAUGAUUACAUUUAUAAUCAGCAAAUAUACUAAUAAACAUUCUUUGAUAAGCAGAAAACAUCAUGUGCUUGUUAAAGAAUGGACAGAGUCCCAACUGAGGCUUGCAUCUCAGUAACCUGGAUGUUCCCACUCUCUCUUCCCUGCUCCUGAUGAGCAGGGACUUGGAGUUAUUUCCUUGUCCAGUGUCAACCAACCCAAGAAGUACUAAAGGCUGGAAGUAUGUGAUCCCAGACAAUGCUGUGAAUCCACACAAAAAACCAAAAAGCACCAGUAAUUAUGCAUAAGAAAGUAUAAAUGCUAUUUCUUUUUUAAACUUAUUAUAAAAGCAACUAUAUAAAACCAUAUACAUAAUUGUACUGUUUGACCUAUAACAAACAGAAAUAUACUUGCCAUUAGCCGCACAAUGGAGGUGGGUGCACAUAGCUAUAUUGGCUUAAGGAAAUGACUACAGAGAGUAUCUCAAAUUCAAUACAUGGGUUUAUUUAUUUGUCCAACCUCAUCUAAUUUUGCACUUGAAAUGAGUGCAUUUUGUUAUAUAUGUUAUACAUUAAUAAAGUUGACUAAAAAAGUCCAGUUGGAAAAUGGGCAAAAACUUGAGCACAUAUUUCUCUAAAGCGGAUAUAUGGAUAGCAAACAUAUGCAUGAAAACAUGUUCAAUAGCUAUUACUGGUGGGAAUGUAAGAUGGUGCAGCUACUCUGGAAAACAAUUUGGUAGUUUAGCAUACACUUACCGUACAACUCUACAAUUGCAUUCUUGGGCAUUUAUCACCUCCUUGACACACACAACAAUGAAAACUCAUGUCCAUACAAAAGUGAAAACAUGUUCAUAGGAAACUGAAUACAAAUGUUCAUGGCAGUGUUAUUUGUGAUAGCUAACAAUGAUGAUGAUAAUAGUAAUAAUAAUAAUAGUGUAGACAGCCCAAAUGUCCCUCAAUAGGUGAACAGAUAAACAAACUGUGGAAUAUCUACUUAGCAAUACAAAGGAGCUAGCUACUGAUACACACACCUUGGAUGGAUCUCAAAUGCAUUAUGCUGAGUGAUAAAAGCCCACAGUAUAGCCCAUCCAUGCUAUAGGAUUUCCUUUAUGUGACAUUUGUGAAGUGGCACAUUCUAGUGAUGGAGGACAGAUCAGUGGUGGUCAGGAUUGGGAGAGUGUAUGACCUAAGGGUUAGUUAGAAGUUCCCUUGUGGGCAUGUAUGUAUAUUUUAUUUUCUCAGAUAUACUUAUGUUGAUGAAAUUCAUUUUUCUUUUUUUUUUUUAAGAUUUUAUUUAUUUAUUUGACAGAGAGAGACACAGUGAGAGAGUGAACACAAGCAAAGGCAGAGGGAGAGGGAGAAGCAGGCCUCCUGCCAAGCAGGGAGCCCGAUGCGGGGCUCAAUCCCAGGACCCUGGGAUCAUGACCUGAGCCGAAGGCAGGCGCUUAACGACUGAGCCACCCAGGCGCCCCGAAAUUCAUUUUUCUAAAGAACAUUUUAUAGAAUCUAAAUUAUAAAAUUCUAUGUUCAUCUGUUAUAUGGCAGUAUGACAACUUUGUAAAUAAUGGGCAAUAUUUAUUUUUAAACAUUUAAUAUUUCUAGAUGUAUUGAGUGUCACAGUAUAAUAUAAAUGUUUUCACUGUAAAUGUGUUAGGAUUAUUGCAUUUUAAAAUCAGCAUGGCAGAGAAAUUGAUCAUUGAUAUGCAGGCUCUUGGAGCUGUGCAACAUUUAUAUUAAUUUGGUUGUUGAGGAGAAAUAGAAAAGAUUGUGCAUUAUCCCAUUCUCAUAGUAUAAUAGUACGCCAUUGUAUAAGUACAAAUUGUAUAUUAAAAAACUUGUACCAUGUAAAAAAAAAAAAAGAAGUUCCCUUGUGGACUGGAACAGCUCUGUA